UACGGAGGGUGCGAGCGUUGUCCGGAAUCACUGGGCGUAAAGCGUGCGCAGGCGGCGCGUUAAGACAGGUGUGAAAGCCCCGAGCUUAACUUGGGAAUUGCGCUUGUGACUGGCGUGCUGGAGUGUGGCAGAGGGAGGUGGAAUUCCACGUGUAGCAGUGAAAUGCGUAGAGAUGUGGAGGAACACCGAUGGCGAAGGCAGCCUCCUGGGCCAGCACUGACGCUCAUGCAUGAAAGCGUGGGGAGCAAACAGG
Molecule: ribosomal RNA, 253 nt
Filed under: uncultured bacterium
Lineage: Bacteria
Description: partial 16S ribosomal RNA
Rfam family: Bacterial small subunit ribosomal RNA
Source: RNAcentral